This 799-nucleotide ribosomal RNA is filed under the name Pseudoalteromonas shioyasakiensis. Its description in RNAcentral is "bacterial SSU rRNA". It matches the Rfam family "Bacterial small subunit ribosomal RNA", at positions 76 to 865 of the family's 1533-position model. Lineage: Bacteria; Pseudomonadati; Pseudomonadota; Gammaproteobacteria; Alteromonadales; Pseudoalteromonadaceae. The record is from RNAcentral.
UAGCUUGCUACUCUGCUGACGAGCGGCGGACGGGUGAGUAAUGCUUGGGAAUAUGCCUUAUGGUGGGGGACAACAGUUGGAAACGACUGCUAAUACCGCAUGAUGUCUACGGACCAAAGUGGGGGACCUUCGGGCCUCACGCCAUAAGAUUAGCCCAAGUGGGAUUAGCUAGUUGGUGAGGUAAUGGCUCACCAAGGCGACGAUCCCUAGCUGGUUUGAGAGGAUGAUCAGCCACACUGGGACUGAGACACGGCCCAGACUCCUACGGGAGGCAGCAGUGGGGAAUAUUGCACAAUGGGCGCAAGCCUGAUGCAGCCAUGCCGCGUGUGUGAAGAAGGCCUUCGGGUUGUAAAGCACUUUCAGUAAGGAGGAAAGGUUAAGUGUUAAUAGCACUUAGCUGUGACGUUACUUACAGAAGAAGCACCGGCUAACUCCGUGCCAGCAGCCGCGGUAAUACGGAGGGUGCGAGCGUUAAUCGGAAUUACUGGGCGUAAAGCGUACGCAGGCGGUUUGUUAAGCGAGAUGUGAAAGCCCCGGGCUCAACCUGGGAACUGCAUUUCGAACUGGCAAACUAGAGUGUGAUAGAGGGUGGUAGAAUUUCAGGUGUAGCGGUGAAAUGCGUAGAGAUCUGAAGGAAUACCGAUGGCGAAGGCAGCCACCUGGGGUCAACACUGACGCUCAUGUACGAAAGCGUGGGGGAGCAAACAGGGAUUAGAUACCCUGGUAGUCCACGCCGUAAACGAUGUCUACUAGAAAGCUCGGGUCUUCGGACUUGUUUUUCAAAGCUAACGCAUUAAGU